GCAUAUCAAUAAGCGGAGGAAAAGAAACCAACAGGGAUUGCCUCAGUAACGGCGAGUGAAGCGGCAACAGCUCAAAUUUGAAAUCUGGCCUUGGCCCGAGUUGUAAUUUGUAGAGGAUGUUUCUGGCGCGGCGCCUUCCGAGUUCCCUGGAACGGGACGCCAUAGAGGGUGAGAGCCCCGUACGGUCGCGCGCUAAGCCUCUGUGAAACUCCUUCAACGAGUCGAGUAGUUUGGGAAUGCUGCUCUAAAUGGGAGGUGUACGUCUUCUAAAGCUAAAUACCGGCCAGAGACCGAUAGCGCACAAGUAGAGUGAUCGAAAGAUGAAAAGCACUUUGAAAAGAGGGUUAAACAGUACGUGAAAUUGUUGAAAGGGAAGCGGUUACGACCAGACUUGGGCCCGGUUAAUCAUCCAGCGUUCUCGCUGGUGCACUUGGCCGGCCCAGGCCAGCAUCAGUUUGCCCCGGGGGAUAAAGGCUUCGGGAAUGUGG
Molecule: ribosomal RNA, 488 nt
Filed under: Ijuhya sp.
Lineage: Eukaryota; Fungi; Ascomycota; Sordariomycetes; Hypocreales; Bionectriaceae
Description: partial large subunit ribosomal RNA
Rfam family: Eukaryotic large subunit ribosomal RNA
Source: RNAcentral